Molecule: ribosomal RNA, 265 nt
Filed under: uncultured Bacillota bacterium
Lineage: Bacteria; Bacillati; Bacillota
Description: uncultured Firmicutes bacterium partial 16S ribosomal RNA
Rfam family: Bacterial small subunit ribosomal RNA
Source: RNAcentral
AGCUUGCUUUCUCGAGCGAGUGGCGAACGGGUGAGUAACGCGUGAGGAACCUGCCUCAAAGAGGGGGACAACAGACGGAAACGACUGCUAAUACCGCAUGAGACCACAAGAUGGCAUCAUCAAGGGGUCAAAGGAGAAAUCUGGUAGUAGAGGGGCUUGCGUCUCAUUAGAUAGUUGGUGAGGUAACGGCCCACCAAGUCAACGAUGAGUAGCCGAUCUGAGAGGAUGAACGGCCACAUUGGAACUGAGAAACGGUCCAAACUCC